Molecule: ribosomal RNA, 424 nt
Filed under: uncultured bacterium
Lineage: Bacteria
Description: bacterial SSU rRNA
Rfam family: Bacterial small subunit ribosomal RNA
Source: RNAcentral
GGAAUUUUGCGCAAUGGACGAAAGUCUGACGCAGCAACGCCGCGUGGGUGAUGAAGGUCUUCGGAUUGUAAAACCCUGUCGUCGAGGACGAAGGUGGGGGUGUUAAUAGCGCCCUUGCUUGACGGUACUCGGAGAGGAAGCCCCGGCUAACUCUGUGCCAGCAGCCGCGGUAAUACAGAGGGGGCAAGCGUUAUUCGGAAUUAUUGGGCGUAAAGGGCGCGUAGGCGGUUUCUUAAGUCGGAUGUGCAAUCCCCGGGCUCAACCUGGGAACUGCAUCCGAGACUGGGAGGCUAGAGUACUGGAGAGGUUGGUGGAAUUCCUCGUGUAGCGGUGAAAUGCGUAGAGAUGAGGAGGAACACCAGUGGCGAAGGCGGCCAACUGGACAGUAACUGACGCUGAGGCGCGAAAGUGUGGGUAGCAAACA